RNAcentral lists this ribosomal RNA (1522 nucleotides) under uncultured Bordetella sp. Its description in RNAcentral is "partial 16S-23S ribosomal RNA intergenic spacer". It matches the Rfam family "Bacterial small subunit ribosomal RNA". Lineage: Bacteria; Pseudomonadati; Pseudomonadota; Betaproteobacteria; Burkholderiales; Alcaligenaceae. The record is from RNAcentral.
AACAAAUUGCAUAUGCAUCACCGAACUCAGGCAUUGCUGAAGAUUGAUUCUGAAACCAGAUUGAACGCUGGCGGGAUGCUUUACAUGCAAGUCGAACGGCAGCACGGACUUCGGUCUGGUGGCGAGUGGCGAACGGGUGAGUAAUGUAUCGGAACGUGCCUAGUAGCGGGGGAUAACUACGCGAAAGCGUAGCUAAUACCGCAUACGCCCUUCGGGGAAAGCGGGGACCUUCAGGCCUCGCACUAUUAGAACGGCCGAUAUCGGAUUAGCUAGUUGGUGGGGUAACGGCUCACCAAGGCGACGAUCCGUAGCUGGUUUGAGAGGACGACCAGCCACACUGGGACUGAGACUUGCGGCCCGAACUCCUACGGGAGGCAGCAGUGGGGAAUUUUGGACAGUAGGGGGAAACCUGGUCAGCCAUCCCGCGUGUGCGAUGAAGGCUUCGGGUUGUAAAGCACUUUUGGCAGGAAAGAAACGGCGCAGGAUAAUACCCCGUGCAACUGACGGUACCUGCAGAAUAAGCACCGGCUAACUACGUGCCAGCAGCCGCGGUAAUACGUAGAAGCGUUAAUCGGAAUUACUGGGCGUAAAGCGUGCGCAGGCGGUUCCGGAAGAAAGAUGUGAAAUCCCAGAGCUUAACUUUGGAACUGCAUUUUUAACUACCGAGCUAGAGUGUGUCAGAGGGAGGUGGAAUUCCGCGUGUAGCAGUGAAAUGCGUAGAUAUGCGGAGGAACACCGAUGGCGAAGCGGCUUCCCCUGGGAUAACACUGACGCUCAUGCACGAAAAGCGUGGGAGCAAACAGGAUUAGAUACCCUGGUAGUCCACGCCCUAAACGAUGUCAACUAGCUGUUGGGCCUUCGGGCCUUGGUAGCGCAACUAACGCGUGGUGACCGCCUGGGGAGUACGGUCGCAAGAUUAAAACUCCAAAGAGAUUGACGGGGACCCGCACAAGCGGUGGAUGAUGUGGAUUAAUUCGAUGCAACGCGAAAAACCUUACCUACCCUUGACAUGUCUGGAAUCCCGAGAAGAGAGAUUUGGGAGUGCUCGCAAGAGAACCGGAACACAGGUGCUGCAUGGCUGUCGUCAGCUCGUGUCGUGAGAUGUUGGGUUAAGUCCCGCAACGAGCGCAACCCUUGUCAUUAGUUGCUACGAAAGGGCACUCUAAUGAGACUGCCGGUGACAAACCGGAGGAAGGUGGGGAUGACGUCAAGUCCUCAUGGCCCAUAUGGGUAGAGGGCUUCACCACAUCAUACAAUGGUCGGGACAGAGGGUCGCCAACCCACGGGGGGGGAGCCGUCGAAACCCGAUCGUAGUCCGGAUCGCAGUCUGCAACUCGACUGCGUGAAGUCGGAAUCGCUAGUAAUCGCGGAUCAGCAUGUCGCAGUGAAUACGUUCCGGGUCUUGUACACACCGCCCGUCACACCAUGGGAGUGGGUUUUACCAGAAGUAGUUAGCCUAACCGUAAGGAGGGCGAUUACCACGGUAAGUUCAUGACUGGGGUGAAGUCGUAACAAAGGUUAG